GGGGGCGACUGGAUUCGACGGGAUGGAUGUCGCGCCUGGUUGCAUGUAGAGGACCUCAGGUAACCUCUUAAAUCCUCCUGGGACACGUACAAGUGCCGAUUACGGCCAAGUAGCCUACGCCUAAGUAGCGUAAGCCGUUUUCCCGAAAGCGUGCCCGACGAGUUCGGAGAAAGCGACGAUAAUUCGGGCUGGUCACCGGUUAUAUCUGCGGACCGGCGAUGAGAUAUUUAUCGCAGAUUGGUUCUGACUGAAUGCUGUCCGCUGCAGUCAUCAGAGCGAGAUUAAAGAACGGACUAAACAUGUAGAUACCGGUCGRGAUACYUUUUCGGACGGGAGUUCGACUCUCCCCGCCUCCACAA
This 359-nucleotide transfer-messenger RNA is filed under the name bacterium. RNAcentral describes it as "UBA2128 sp002402135 Standard tmRNA". It matches the Rfam family "transfer-messenger RNA". From Rfam's summary of the family: Bacterial tmRNA, also known as 10Sa RNA or SsrA, is named for its dual tRNA and mRNA-like properties. Its role is to liberate the mRNA from a stalled ribosome. RNAcentral also lists the same sequence under 1 other name. The record is from RNAcentral.